GUCUGCGUCGGGGAGGUGGAGGCGCGGUGCUGGGCCUCGGUGGUCCUCUGUGCUCCUGGCUGCGGGGGUGAUUGCGUUGUCCCGAGGGAUCCCCACGUCUCAGCACCCGCGGAACCUAAUCAACAGCACCCGCAGAAUCUGGUUAUCAGCACCCACAACCCUGGGCACCAGCACCGCGGAACCUGGGCUCCUGCAUCCACGGGUCCGCACAGGGCUGCAGGUCCACGCGUACACUCCGUGCACCAUGCCAUGAUUUGCUGCUGGAUGUGAUGACACACACCCCUAAUCCUGGGACUUGGGGUGUAGGCAUAGAAGAAUUGGAAAUUCAGUUCAUCGUCUGCUACGUAGCAGAGGUCAACCUGAGCUUGGAGAUAGUUGCUGGGAUAACACCAUGACCAAGGGAACUUGGAAGAGUUUAUUUGGACUUGCAAUUCCAGAGGGAUAAGAGUCAUCAUGGUGGGGAGGCAUGGCAGCAGAGGCGUCUGGAGCGCACACAAGUAGCAGAGAGAGCAUAACUGAAAGUGGAGCAAGACUCUGAACUCUUACAACCCACGGCCAGUGAUAUGCUUUCUUCAGCUAGCCACAACUCCUAAAGGUUCCGUCACUCUUCCCAAACAAUGCUGCCAACUGGCCAAGUGUUCAAAUACUUGAGCCUAUGGGGGACUGUCUCAUCAAACCACCACAUUCUACUCCCUGGACCCCAUAGAUUCAUUGCUAUAUCAUAAUGCAAAAUGCGUUUAGCUCAACUUUAACAGUCCCCAUUGUCUUUAACAGUCUCAACACUGGUCCAAAGUCCAAAACCUUUUCUGAGACUCAAGGCACUAUCAUAACUAUAAAAUAAAAGCACCUAUAAAAUAAAAAGCUAUUUACAUACUUUGAACAAACCAUAGCAUAGAAUAUAUAUUCUGGUUCUAAAAGGGAGGAAUGAGGGGAUAAUGAGAAAUUUUAGGACCAAAAACCACCAGAGGAAAAAAAGCAGUUCCUAUAACUCCAUGUCUGAUGGCUAGGAUGUUAGUUCCAAAGGGCUUAGUUGUGCCCACCCUUCAAGUUCUGCUGUCUGCAGUAUACAACGGCCUGUAUGCAGCUGUCACUGGCAGAUACCUCAUGGCUCUGGCAUCCCCAGCAUCUUAGGGUCUCCACAGCAGCCCAGGGUUCAAUUUCACACCUUCAUAUGAUGGCCUUCAAGGUCUGUUGGCUUGUUAGGGCCUUUUUAAUGUGAGAAUUUCCCUGAUACAUCCUGCCAGGCUUCAGUGGCUCUCUGAAACCACAGAGGAACAAUCAGUAACCCCCUCACUCUUGCACCUUUUAUGCCUCUAAGUCCAGUGCCACUCAGAGGAUACUACCAGGUUCAGCUGCCACCUUGGGAUGGACCCUAUUUGGUCACAUUAGCCCCAGUUUUUGUUGUGGUUUUCUAGGACCAGAAAACCUCUUAGGCCUUUCACAAGUUGAAAGCUUAGCUGGGUGAAAUCUUACCUUGAGGGCUUUCUUUCCAUUGUUUAAGUGACGAUCAAGGGGCCUCUUUUUGUAUGUUUGUCAGUUUUUGUUUUUUGAGGUGGGGUAUCCCUGUAGCCACAGCUGGCCUGGAAAUCACUAUUAAACCAGGCUGACCUUCAACUCACAGAGAUCUGCCAGCCUCUUGCCACCCACAUUCCCCACAGGAGGCCUCUUCUUCGUGGUGCUAAUUUCAUAACAAUGAGAGUCUCAUUUCUAACACAGCACCUUAGCUGCAACAUUAAACUUUUUAGUGUGUUCAUUGAACUAGAACUGACCUGGAAACCUCCUCUUGGAAGACUAGCUUUCAAAGUAUCUGAAGAUACUAUGCAAGCUGCCAACGAGAAAAACCAAUCUUUAUCCAGGUGUAAUGUCUACAAACCACAACAACGAUUGGCCCA
This is a long non-coding RNA of Nannospalax galili (Upper Galilee mountains blind mole rat), 1892 nucleotides long. RefSeq lists it as uncharacterized. The transcript is spliced from 3 exons. The record is from RefSeq and is a predicted model, not a curated record. Lineage: Eukaryota; Metazoa; Chordata; Mammalia; Rodentia; Spalacidae.